RNAcentral lists this ribosomal RNA (476 nucleotides) under Candidatus Kuenenia stuttgartensis. RNAcentral describes it as "bacterial SSU rRNA". It matches the Rfam family "Bacterial small subunit ribosomal RNA", at positions 365 to 832 of the family's 1533-position model. RNAcentral also lists the same sequence under 1 other name. The record is from RNAcentral. Lineage: Bacteria; Pseudomonadati; Planctomycetota; Candidatus Brocadiia; Candidatus Brocadiales; Candidatus Brocadiaceae.
UUCGCAAUGCCCGAAAGGGUGACGAAGCGACGCCGCGUGGGUGAGGAAGGCCCUCGGGUUGUAAAGCCCUGUCAGGAGUUAAGAAAUGUAGACUCGCUAAUAUCGGGUCUAUUUGACAAAGGCUCCAAAGGAAGCCACGGCUAACUCUGUGCCAGCAGCCGCGGUAAUACAGAGGCGGCAAGCGUUGUUCGGAAUUAUUGGGCGUAAAGAGCACGUAGGCGGCCUUGCAAGUCAGUUGUGAAAGCCUUCCGCUCAACGGAAGAAUGCCAGCUGAUACUACAUGGCUUGAGUACGGGAGGGGAGAGUGGAACUUCUGGUGGAGCGGUGAUAUGCGUAGAUAUCAGGAGGAACGCCGGAGGCGAAAGCGGCUCUCUGGCGCGCAACUGACGCUGAGGUGCGAAAGCUAGGGGAGCGAACAGGAUUAGAUACCCCGGUAGUCCUAACUGUAAACGAUGGGCACUAAGUAGAGGGGUUUU